RNAcentral lists this ribosomal RNA (253 nucleotides) under uncultured bacterium. RNAcentral's name for it is "partial 16S ribosomal RNA". It matches the Rfam family "Bacterial small subunit ribosomal RNA", at positions 524 to 776 of the family's 1533-position model. The record is from RNAcentral.
UACGAAGGGGGCUAGCGUUGUUCGGAAUUACUGGGCGUAAAGCGCGUGUAGGCGGGUCUUUAAGUCGGGGGGGAAAUCCUGGAGCUCAACUCCAGAACUGCCUUCGAUACUGGAGAGCUCGAGUCCGGGAGAGGUGAGUGGAACUGCGAGUGUAGAGGUGAAAUUCGUAGAUAUUCGCAAGAACACCAGUGGCGAAGGCGGCUCACUGGCCCGGUACUGACGCUGAGGUGCGAAAGCGUGGGGAGCAAACAGG